RNAcentral lists this ribosomal RNA (253 nucleotides) under uncultured bacterium. RNAcentral's name for it is "partial 16S ribosomal RNA". It matches the Rfam family "Bacterial small subunit ribosomal RNA", at positions 524 to 776 of the family's 1533-position model. The record is from RNAcentral.
UACGUAGGGGGCUAGCGUUGUCCGGAAUCAUUGGGCGUAAAGCGCACGCAGGUGGUUUCUUAAGUCUGAUGUGAAAGCCCACGGCUCAACCGUGGAGGGUCAUUGGAAACUGGGAGACUUGAGUGCAGAAGAGGAAAGUGGAAUUCCAUGUGUAGCGGUGAAAUGCGUAGAGAUAUGGAGGAACACCAGUGGCGAAGGCGACUUUCUGGUCUGUAACUGACACUGAGGCGCGAAGGCCAGGGGAGCAAACGGG